AACGUGAACCACCAGCCCAAACCUCCCUGGAGCUGCCCACCCCAUCCCAUCCACACCCAGCUUGGCAAACACCCCCCAAAUUCAGAAACUGCCCCAAAAACAGGGGGGGGGUCAGUGAUGGGGGAGAGAGACCCCAAAACCCCUGGGGGAACGUGAACCACCAGCCCAAACCUCCCUGGAGGUGCCCAGCCCAUCCCAUCCACACCCAGCUUGGCAAACACCCCCCAGAACCAGGAACUGCUCCAAAAACAGGGGGGUCAGUGCCAGGGGGAAAGGACAGAAACCCCCCAAACCCUUGGAGAAACAUGAACCACCAGCCCAAACCUCCCUGGAGCUGCCCACCCACACCCAGGGGUGCCACAUGCAGCAGGUGCCCCCCCCCAGAUUGGCAAAGAAUCAGGAAUUGCCCCAAAAACAGGGGACAGGGGGGUCAGUGAUGGGGGGAGAGAGACCCCAAAACCCCUGGGGGAAUAUGAACCACCAGCCCAAACCUCCCUGGAGCUGACCACCCACACCCAGGGGUGCCCCCCCAGCUUGGCACACACUCCCCAAAAUCAGGAAUUCCUCCAAAAACGGGGGACAGGGAGGAAAGGACAGAGCCCCCCAAACCCCUGGGGGAACGUGAACCACCAGCCCAAAAACACCUCCCAGACUCCCCUGGUAGUGCCCAUCCCACCCCACUCACACCCAGGGGUGCCACAUGCAGCAGGUGCCCCCCCCCAGCUUGGCACACACUCCCCAAAAUCAGGAAUUCCUCCAAAAACAGGGGACAGGGGAGAAAGGACAGAGCCCCCCAAACCACCUGGAGGAACAUGAUCCACCAAC
Zonotrichia albicollis (white-throated sparrow) is the source of this 825-nucleotide long non-coding RNA. Lineage: Eukaryota; Metazoa; Chordata; Aves; Passeriformes; Passerellidae. The record is from Ensembl.